RNAcentral lists this ribosomal RNA (425 nucleotides) under uncultured bacterium. RNAcentral describes it as "partial 16S ribosomal RNA". It matches the Rfam family "Bacterial small subunit ribosomal RNA", at positions 354 to 796 of the family's 1533-position model. The record is from RNAcentral.
GUGGGGAAUCUUGCGCAAUGGGCGAAAGCCUGACGCAGCCAUGCCGCGUGAAUGAUGAAGGUCUUAGGAUUGUAAAAUUCUUUCACCGGGGACGAUAAUGACGGUACCCGGAGAAGAAGCCCCGGCUAACUUCGUGCCAGCAGCCGCGGUAAUACGAAGGGGGCUAGCGUUGCUCGGAAUUACUGGGCGUAAAGGGCGCGUAGGCGGACAGUUUAGUCAGAGGUGAAAGCCCAGGGCUCAACCUUGGAAUUGCCUUUGAUACUGGCUGUCUUGAGUACGGGAGGAGUGGAGGGAACUCCGAGUGUAGAGGUGAAAUUCGUAGAUAUUCGGAAGAACACCAGUGGCGAAGGCGACUCACUGGCCCGUUACUGACGCUGAGGCGCGAAAGCGUGGGGAGCAAACAGGAUUAGAAACCCGGGUAGUCC